Molecule: unclassified non-coding RNA, 254 nt
Filed under: uncultured Acidimicrobiia bacterium
Lineage: Bacteria; Bacillati; Actinomycetota; Acidimicrobiia
Description: contains 16S-23S intergenic spacer region
Rfam family: Bacterial small subunit ribosomal RNA
Source: RNAcentral
UACGUAGGGAGCAAGCGUUGUCCGGAUUUAUUGGGCGUAAAGGGCUAGUAGGCGGUUCGGUAAGUCGGGUGUGAAACCUCCAGGCUCAACCUGGAGACGCCACUCGAUACUGCUGUGACUUGAGUCUGGUAGGGGAGCACGGAAUACCUGGUGUAGCGGUGAAAUGCACAGAUAUCAGGUGGAACACCGGUGGCGAAGGCGGUGCUCUGGGCCAGAACUGACGCUGAAUAGCGAAAGCGUGGGUAGCGAACAGG